CCUACGGGUGGCAGCAGUGAGGAAUAUUGGUCAAUGGGCGCGAGCCUGAACCAGCCAAGUCGCGUGAGGGAUGACGGUCCUACGGAUUGUAAACCUCUUUUGCCGGGGAGCAAGCGUGCGUUCGUGAACGCGCGUCGAGAGUACCCGGAGAAAAAGCAUCGGCUAACUCCGUGCCAGCAGCCGCGGUAAUACGUAGGUGGCAAGCGUUAUCCGGAUUUACUGGGUGUAAAGGGCGUGUAGGCGGGAGUGCAAGUCAGAUGUGAAAACUAUGGGCUCAACCCAUAGCCUGCAUUUGAAACUGUACUUCUUGAGUGCUGGAGAGGCAAUCGGAAUGCCGUGUGUAGCGGUGAAAUGCGUAGAUAUACGGAGGAACACCAGUGGCGAAGGCGGAUUGCUGGACAGUAACUGACGCUGAGGCGCGAAAGCGUGGGGAGCAAACAGGAUUAGAUACCCCUGUAGUC
RNAcentral lists this ribosomal RNA (461 nucleotides) under uncultured bacterium. RNAcentral describes it as "partial 16S ribosomal RNA". It matches the Rfam family "Bacterial small subunit ribosomal RNA", at positions 338 to 795 of the family's 1533-position model. The record is from RNAcentral.